Molecule: ribosomal RNA, 441 nt
Filed under: uncultured bacterium
Lineage: Bacteria
Description: partial 16S ribosomal RNA
Rfam family: Bacterial small subunit ribosomal RNA
Source: RNAcentral
CCUACGGGGGGCUGCAGUGGGGAAUCUUGCGCAAUGGGCGAAAGCCUGACGCAGCAACGCCGCGUGCGGGAAGAAGGCUCUCGGGUUGUAAACCGCUUUCAGCAGGAACGAAAAUGACGGUACUUGCAGAAGAAGGUGCGGCCAACUACGUGCCAGCAGCCGCGGUGACACGUAGGCACCAAGCGUUGUCCGGAUUUAUUGGGCGUAAAGAGCUCGUAGGCGGUUCGGUAAGUCGGGUGUGAAAUCUCGGGGAUUAACGCCGAGCCUGCAUCCGAUACUGCUGUGACUAGAGGUCGGUAGGGGAGUGGGGAAUUCCUAGUGUAGCGGUGAAAUGCGCAGAUAUUAGGAGGAACGCCGGUGGCGAAGGCGCCACUCUGGGCCGAUACUGACGCUGAGGAGGGAAAGCGUGGGGAGCAAACAGGAUUAGAUACCCUAGUAGUC